CUGGUGGUUCGUGCGGACCUGGAGCGCGCACGCAUGUCGCUGGUGCUGGCCACCGACCUGCAUGUCACGUACCUGGUUACGCCGAUAAAGGAGGACCUGCGGGUGGACUGGCAAAUGUGAGGUACCGUCUCCGUUGGAGCCCGCUUUCAGGGUUUAGGGAGGAGAGAUCUGGAAAUGAGGCGGUGACGGAUGGGUGGUAGUUGGUCUUAGGGUUCUGCUGGUGACUUUAUUCUCGCGCCGAUCGUCACCUUGGGCUGUCUCCUUUCUCUCUCGCCCCCUCGGGGGGGGGGGUAGGGGGGUCCCGCUGCCUCACGGCCAUCCCGCUGUCCUGUUUCUCUCACUGCUACUACCGCAGCUACUUCGACUGGUUUGAGAAGCUGUCUCGAGUGGAUGCCCGAGUAGCGGAGCUGGUGGGGGUGGUGCCCGCCUACCUGGUCAAGUUGCGACAGGUAGGGGGGGGCAGCUGGGCGGGGGGCGGGGCUCGGGGGGUACUCCCACGUAGCUUGUGGGAUCUGCUGCUGCUGCUGCUGCUGCUGCUUCCGCGCCUCCCGGGAUGACACCCAUGCGCAUGUCCGCCUUCCUCCAACUCCCGCGACUCAUCGCCAACGGAUUUUGUCCUUGUGUGUACUGAUAUCAGCGGUGUGCUGCUCCUAUCUCCUCGAGACACACUGAUACUCUCUCACUCUCUCACAUACACACACACUGCACAUGCAUGCACGUGCGGCGUGUAGGGCCAUCGCGGCGCCCGUGUCGGUGGUGGCGGUGGUGCUGCUGAUGCGGAGAAGGAGCGCAUCGCCCGGCGCUUCUUCGCUGCCAUGGUGCUCAACGACCUUAUACAGGAAGUGCGUCUGGAUUUGGAUUUUAGGUUUGGAUUUUAGAUUUAGAUUUGGAUCUGGGUUGAGGUAGGACGUGUCCAAAUUGCUGACUAUUGACCGGAACAGAGCCAGCCAGCCCUACCGCAUGUAACCUAGCUAGCAUUGCCACAGGCUCACCCGUCGUAGUCCACGUGGCUUUGUUGGUCAUGUUGCUGUGUUCCCGCAUCCGUGUCCACCUCCACCACCUCCACCACCACCUCCGCAGGUGCCCCUGAAGGAGGUUGCGGAGAAGUACGGACUGGGCAAGGAGAAGGGCCCCCUGGAGGGGCUGCAGGAGCGAGCCGGUGGGUCGGCUGCAUGCCUGUAUUGUCUGCCUGUCGUUAUGUCUGUAGGUGCAGGUCUGACUCUGAGGAGGAGGUGGGACCUGAGAGGUCUUGACAGUCUCUUGCAGGUUACCCCUUCCCCCCUUCGGUUAUACCGCUUCCAGUUUCGAAAGACCCGUGGUUGUGACUCAAUACACACCGACACACACACACACACACACACACACACACACACACACACACGCACACACACACAUUGACACGCACACACACACACACAUCAAGACGUCCCGCAGGACAUGGUGCUUCGUCCCAUCCUUGCCUCUUUGCCCUCUGUAUGCCCUGUGCUCCUCCCUGUCGAUUGAUCGAGUCCCUUGUCCUGUCCUCUCCUGUCUUUUUUACAACCAACAAACCCCUCCCCUUGGUAUCAUCCCUUCGUCCCGGUUUUCACUGGGGCCGGGGCUUUCCGCCUUCGGGCCUUCUUUCCUUCCAGGUCGCUUCGCUGCCAUGGUGGCCGCUUUCUGUGAGCGGCUUGGCUGGGCAGACCUGGAGGUCAUCAUUGCCAAGUUCCAGAGCCGCGUGUGGUACGGUGUACGGCCGGAGGUGGUUGCGCUAACGGAAAUCCCGUACGUCAAGGGCCACCGCGCACGGCUGCUGUUCAAGGCGGGGCUGCGCACGCCUGAGGCGGUGGCGGGGUGCGAGCUGGAGAGGCUGAUCGAGAUUCUAUCCGCAGGUAGGGGUGAGGACAGGGUGGGGAGGAGGAGGGGCGGAAUUGGGGGAGGAGGGGUUAUGGCAUUCUCCGUUCUUCUCCGUUCUGGCUUUCCCCUCUUAAAAGAGGAAAGGUAUUAUGUAUUCUUAGUUCCCCCUUCGGUCCGCAUUGCUUCCACUCACAUUCCAGAGUUAAAGAUGAUGAAUUGCAAACCGAUUGCGCGUCACGCAUUGAUUGCCCGUUUUUCCUGUCGUCACCCUCCUUCGCCGCUGCUGGUGGUGGUGUCGGUGCUGGUGCUGGUGCUGCUGGUGCCGGUGCCGGUGCUGGACAGGAGCUCCUCGCAAUCCGGAGCACGAGGAGCAGCAGCGGCGGACGGAGCGCCGUGCCGCCCGAAUGAUCCUGCAGGGCGCCAAGGACCUCGUCAACCAAAAGGUGCGUGCGUGGAGGGGAGGGAAAUGUGAACGAGAGAAUCUGCGGCGGUGGGGGCAAAGCCUCAUCUUUAGCGGCAAUGUCAGCUGCAGCGUCGAAGCGCGAGCCAGCAGAAACGAAGAAGCGUUAGGUCAGUGGUGGAGAGAAGUGAGGCCGGAAAACUUGGGAACGCAGUAGUGUGUGGAGGGAGGGGAGGUGCAAGUAAGUUGGGAGCCAGGACCCCUCCCUCUGAUUGAUCUCUCGCUAACACUCACCAAUCUGACUUGUAUGUACGUAUGUCUUAUUUUUGUCUAUCUAUCUAUCUGUCUGUCUGUCUGUCUGCCUUACAUCUUGUGUUAUCCGUCCGAAGGUACACGAGUUGAAAGAGCAAGCCAAGGCCCUGAGAGCCGCCUUGGAUCCCAGCGCCUCCCAGCAACACUCCGUGCC
RNAcentral lists this long non-coding RNA (2702 nucleotides) under Volvox carteri. Its description in RNAcentral is "long non-coding RNA (VCAR_LNC003655)". Lineage: Eukaryota; Viridiplantae; Chlorophyta; Chlorophyceae; Chlamydomonadales; Volvocaceae. The record is from RNAcentral.